This 492-nucleotide ribosomal RNA is filed under the name uncultured bacterium. Its description in RNAcentral is "partial 16S ribosomal RNA". It matches the Rfam family "Bacterial small subunit ribosomal RNA", at positions 29 to 507 of the family's 1533-position model. The record is from RNAcentral.
AGUGAACGCUGGCGGUAGGCCUAACACAUGCAAGUCGAACGGCAGCACAGUAAGAGCUUGCUCUUACGGGUGGCGAGUGGCGGACGGGUGAGGAAUACAUCGGAAUCUACUUUUUCGUGGGGGAUAACGUAGGGAAACUUACGCUAAUACCGCAUACGACCUACGGGUGAAAGCAGGGGAUCUUCGGACCUUGCGCGAUUGAAUGAGCCGAUGUCGGAUUAGCUAGUUGGCGGGGUAAAGGCCCACCAAGGCGACGAUCCGUAGCUGGUCUGAGAGGAUGAUCAGCCACACUGGGACUGAGACACGGUCCAGACUCCUACGGGAAGCAGCAGUGGGGAAUAUUGGACAAUGGGCGCAAGCCUGAUCCAGCCAUACCGCGUGGGUGAAGAAGGCCUUCGGGUUGUAAAGCCCUUUUGUUGGGAAAGAAAAGCAGCAGGUUAAUACCCCGCUGUUCUGACGGUACCCAAAGAAUAAGCACCGGCUAACUUCGUG